UACAGAGGGUGCGAGCGUUAAUCGGAAUUACUGGGCGUAAAGCGUGCGCAGACGGUCACGUAAGUCGGGUGUGAAAGCCCCGGGCUCAACCUGGGAAUUGCAUUCGAGACUGCGUGGCUAGGGUGCGGAAGAGGGAAGCGGAAUUUCCGGUGUAGCGGUGAAAUGCGUAGAUAUCGGAAGGAACGACCAGUGGCGAAAGCGGA
This 203-nucleotide ribosomal RNA is filed under the name uncultured bacterium. Its description in RNAcentral is "partial 16S ribosomal RNA". It matches the Rfam family "Bacterial small subunit ribosomal RNA", at positions 524 to 725 of the family's 1533-position model. The record is from RNAcentral.